This 566-nucleotide ribosomal RNA is filed under the name Aplastodiscus lutzorum. Its description in RNAcentral is "partial 16S ribosomal RNA". It matches the Rfam family "Bacterial large subunit ribosomal RNA", at positions 1828 to 2597 of the family's 2925-position model. The record is from RNAcentral. Lineage: Eukaryota; Metazoa; Chordata; Amphibia; Anura; Hylidae.
AUCGCCUCUUGACUCUAUAAGAGGUCCAGCCUGCCCAGUGACCCUGUUUAACGGCCGCGGUAUCCUAACCGUGCGAAGGUAGCGUAAUCACUUGUUCUUUAAAUGAGGACUAGUAUGAACGGCAUCACGAAGGUUGCACUGUCUCCCCUUUUUAAUCAGUGAAACUAAUCUUCCCGUGAAGAAGCGGGAAUGCUUAAAUAAGACGAGAAGACCCUAUGGAGCUUUAAACUAUCUGACACUUGCUGUUAUCUUAACACUUCAAGUAGCCUCAUAAAAACACAGCAUUAUGAUCACAAGUUUUCGAUUGGGGUGAUCAUGGAGUAAAAACCAACCUCCACGCCAAAUGAGCUCAACCUCUGAACUAUAAGCCACAACUUUACGCACUUAAAAAUUGAUGCCUCUUGACCCAAUAAUUUGAUCAACGAACCAAGUUACCCUAGGGAUAACAGCGCAAUCCACUUCAAGAGCCCCUAUCGACAAGUGGGUUUACGACCUCGAUGUUGGAUCAGGGUGUCCAAGUGGUGCAGCCGCUACUGAUGGUUCGUUUGUUCAACGAUUAAAACCCU